This 20-nucleotide non-coding RNA is filed under the name Gossypium hirsutum (cotton). Lineage: Eukaryota; Viridiplantae; Streptophyta; Magnoliopsida; Malvales; Malvaceae. The record is from RNAcentral.
CAUCCGGGGGAAGAAUGGCA